Molecule: long non-coding RNA, 2759 nt
Organism: Onychostoma macrolepis
Lineage: Eukaryota; Metazoa; Chordata; Actinopteri; Cypriniformes; Cyprinidae
Exons: 3
Source: RefSeq, a predicted model, not a curated record
UCAUUUUUCCUAAAAGAGAGGAUGGACGAAGUUCAAUUUAUAAGUGACAUCAAACUCUGCAAAUACUUUUCCAUUAUACUGGAUUGCACUCCUGACAUAAGCCACACAGAUCAACUUUCAGUUGUCAUUAGGACUGUGUCAGUGGAGGACAAGCCACAAGUGAGAGAGCACUUCAUGGGCUUCCUUGAAGCUGAAGCCUCAACAGGGGAGGAGCUAUCUACUCUUGUCUUAAAGAGGCUUGAAGACCUGAACAUACCUUAUGAGGACUGCAGGGGGCAGUCCAAUGACAACGGGGCAAACAUGAAAGGCAAAAGGAAAGGUGUCCAGGCUAGAUUGCUGGCAAUAAACCCCAGAGCAUUGCAUGUGCCAUGUGAUGUGCAGCACACACCUUGAACUUGGUAGUGGCCGAUGCUGCACGAAGUUCCAAAGAUGCUAAACUAGCUAUUUUGGUUACCUACAGAAGAUAUUCACCCUGUUCUCAUCUUCCACCAACAGAUGGUGUGUCUUGAAAAACCAUGUCAAGAUCACGCUAAAGUCAUCGUCAGAGACCAGGUGGGAGAGCCGUGUUAACAGCGUAGAACCAAUUAGAUACCAGACCUCGGAGAAUUGAAAACGUCAGUAAGCUGAUGCAGUCGGUUUCCAUGCAACUGGACAUGGCAGUGGACCUGCUUGGCAAAACAUGGCUUCAUCAACAGACUAGAUGCAUGUAAGUUGUCAUUUAUUUAUUUGUAUUUUUUUUAAUAAAUAUAAGUAGGGUAAAGUGCAGAACCCUCUUACAAUGAAAGAAUAUAUUACCAUCAACCCCUAAAAUUUGACAUAGUAAUACAAAAUAUAUUAAAAAGUUUAUACAGCAACUCUUGCUUAUAUGAACAAAUAAUUUAUUCAUCCAAAGGUCCUUUGAACCAAUUUGGGAUUUACAGUCAUGUACAUUUACAAUUUACAUUUAUGCAUUUAGCAGACGCUUUAAAAGCGACUUACAGUGCAUUCAGGUUAUACAUUAUUUUAUUUUUUUUUUCAGUAUGUGUUCCCUAGGAAUUGAACCCAUGACCUUUUGCGCUACUAACACAAUGCUCUACCACUCAGCCACAGGAACACUUAUUAUUAUUUACAAUUAUUUAAUGGACACUUCUCACAUUUUUGAGGUUGUAUAUAAAUAUGGUUGGGUAAGCAUAUAGUGGUGAACUACAACUAAUUCAGCAUACAGCAACAAGUUGACUAUUAGUUUUAUUUUAUUUUCAUUUUGCAAAGUUAAUAUAGCCCAAGCUUUAUGUUGUAUGACAAUUUCAAAUAUAACCUUUUUGGUAGAUUUACCAUGCUAAUAACCGUGGAAAUGUGUCAUUAAAAUCUAUUAAAAAAAAGGGGGUUAUGGUCCUGUUUUAUCUUUGUAACAUCACAAGAUUGUAAUCACUAGUAAAAGGAAGAAUUUAUGUUAAUUUAUGUUAAUAAACUUUUAUUCUAAUGAUGUAUUCUACUGACAAUGCAUGCAAUUCAUUUUCAUUAAAACAGCCAUGUUAUAUUCAUAAAAAAAAUAAAUGACAACUUGCAUCUGGUCUGUUGAUGAAGCCAUGUCUCAGGUCACAUGUGUAUUAUGGAUCGCCUUUUCACAGGCCUCCAAUCACAACUUCCGGAAAAGGGGAAGUAUCCAAUGGCGUUAGAGAUAACAAUUAAAACAGCAAGCCCCGCUACACGACUGACAAAAAUAGAAGUGUUCGCGUGAGCAGGUGAGAGAAGAUCGAGCGCGAGGAUGUGGGGAUGAUCACGCCCGCGCGAGGGCUUGUAUUGCGCGCAGAUAUGGCAAGCCAAAAGGGUCAGAUUCACGCUAUAGAUAAAUCGCGUUAACAUACAAACGCCGUCAAAUACGGCGUUUUAAGCAGUAUUUGCGGCGCAAAAUACGCCGUUGUGAUUACAAACGCCGUAAAAACCGCGCGAAAAUACGUCAAUGGCGCCGUAUCUGCCGGCGUUUUAGUCCACAUGAAAAGCGCCGCUUUUUACAACGUUCAUAUUACCAUAUGACGCCGUAAAAAACGCCGUUUUAAUUGCACAGAGCGCUCGUCGCUUAUGGCGUUAAGCUUGUAUUAUAAUAUGCCACGCCCAUUGAUUUCCACAGCCAGUGAUAUUGAACAGUUCUCACCCAAUCAAUGAUGCACAGAACCAGACCAGAACAAUUCACCACAGAUCAUUUGUGGCAAUCCAAUUCAAUGAGUUAUUUGCCAUUAAGCAGAAAAAUCCAGUUCGCUUUAAAAUGGACAGAAGAAACUUAAUUUUGCGCUGCAAGCGAACAUUAAAUUAUUGCACUCGCCAGCUAACAGAGGAUACUGGACCAAAUAUGCUUCAGUCAACUUUGGUGAGACUGGAAACAAUGCAGAGAAGCCUUGAAUGGGUAAGAGGGAGGCUGAUCAGUGUGCCAUUUUUGCUGCAGCAGUCGGGGUUAAGGACACCUCGGCUAUGGUUAUUGAGUGUGCAAGAGUGUGUUGUACAAUCACAUGCUGUUUUGUUUUUCUUUGUUUUUCAUUCUUUUUAUUUUCCUCCAUGUUUGUGAUACCAAAACAACUGUCCAAAUCACCCACAAAACCUUUUAGUCAAAUGUUUCCACCCCCAUAUGUUCGGACCUCGAUAAUUGUCACUGAUAACUAUUGAACUCUUUUGAUUGCCAUUGUAUUAUGAUUUAAAUAUUGUAAGAUACUGUCAUUUUGAUUUAUGUUCAUGAGUGUCAUUGCAAAUGUAAACUUUAACAUUGUUAAAAUUAAAAAGCUCCUAGU